This 497-nucleotide ribosomal RNA is filed under the name uncultured bacterium. RNAcentral's name for it is "partial 16S ribosomal RNA". It matches the Rfam family "Bacterial small subunit ribosomal RNA", at positions 28 to 507 of the family's 1533-position model. The record is from RNAcentral.
GAUGAACGCUGGCGGCGUGCCUAAUACAUGCAAGUCGAGCGAACAGACGAGGAGCUUGCUCCUCUGACGUUAGCGGCGGACGGGUGAGUAACACGUGGAUAACCUACCUAUAAGACUGGGAUAACUUCGGGAAACCGGAGCUAAUACCGGAUAAUAUAUUGAACCGCAUGGUUCAAUAGUGAAAGACGGUUUUGCUGUCACUUAUAGAUGGAUCCGCGCCGCAUUAGCUAGUUGGUAAGGUAACGGCUUACCAAGGCAACGAUGCGUAGCCGACCUGAGAGGGGGAUAGGCCACACUGGAACUGAGACACGGGCCAGACUCCUACGGGAGGCAGCAGUAGGGAAUCUUCCGCAAUGGGCGAAAGAAUGACGGAGCAACGCCGCGUGAGUGAUGAAGGUAUUCGGAUCGUAAAACUCUGUUAUUAGGGAAGAACAAAUGUGUAAGUAACUAUGCACGUCUUGACGGUACCUAAUCAGAAAGCCACGGCUAACUACGUG